This 801-nucleotide long non-coding RNA is filed under the name Triticum aestivum (bread wheat). RNAcentral's name for it is "long non-coding RNA (TAES_LNC015240)". Lineage: Eukaryota; Viridiplantae; Streptophyta; Magnoliopsida; Poales; Poaceae. The record is from RNAcentral.
UGAGUGCCAAUAUCAUCUCAAAAUAUGCAAUAUAAUAGUAAGAGGUCAGGCUAGUCAAGUGAAAGACGUUUGCAACUACACAAUGACACAUUAGCAAACUUGAGAGCAACAGAAUUACAAUUAGUACAGUUUUCAGGGCAACACAUAAGAAACUACAUGAGUAACGUGACUAUCACUAAUUGAGGAGUGGGUGGCUCCAAGAACUGGAAUUAGACAAAUUAUACAUCAUCAAUCAUUAGGAGCUGGACCCAAUAGAAUCUUGUCUCCUGGUCUGCAAGCCAAAAAAAUGCAGGAAGACUAUCAACACAUAUGCAGGAAGAACACCAUGGCAAUGGUAAUAGAUGAUUGAGCGCAUUGUAAAUAAUGGGGCGACCUCACCUCAAGUAGAUCGCGUUAGAAUAGAAACAACACGACAGUAGCGAUUGCACUCGUUGAGCUUUACAUCGAGCCUUCGAGGUAGUCUAGAAGUGAUGGCCGACGUGAUUCGCUCUUGCAAGAAAAUAAGGAGAGGCCAUUACCAAACUUGAUACAUACUUUCAUUUUCUAUGUUACCUAGGAAAUAUUAUUGCACAUAUGUUUCACUUGUAAAAUUACCAUCUGGGCGAUUGGCGUGUUGUGUCGGCUUGACUACUGAUUUCUUUUCUUUCCUUAUUUUCCUGUAUGAACCUGGUGGCCAGCAGCAAGUGAAGGCAAGAAAUAAGGUGCCAAAGGAUUUAAUUAGGCGAAGAUGAUUAGGCUCUAGUACACACCGAGUGCAUCCAUAAGAGUCUACGUUAAAAUACUACAGAAGGUGAGACUGGG